This 80-nucleotide small RNA is filed under the name Kordia sp. SMS9. RNAcentral's name for it is "Flavo-1 RNA". It matches the Rfam family "Flavo-1 RNA". The record is from Rfam by way of RNAcentral. Lineage: Bacteria; Pseudomonadati; Bacteroidota; Flavobacteriia; Flavobacteriales; Flavobacteriaceae.
GACUAGCCCUGAUUGCAGUGGCAUCCUUUUUUUGCUUUUAUAAGUGGCAAAAAAAGAUACAACGGAAAGCAGGAAUUAGC